UCUAUUUGAAGAUAUAAAAAGUCUGACCUGCCCACUGAUGUUUUUUAAAGGGCCGCGGUAUUAUGACCGUGCAAAGGUAGCAUAAUCAUUAGGUUUUUAAAUGGAAUCUUGUAUGAAUGGUUGAGCAAAAGAGUAACUGUCUUUAAAUAAUAUUUGAAUUUAACUUUUAAGUGAGAAGGCUUAAAUAUUCUAGAGGGACGAUAAGACCCUAUAAAGCUUUAUAUUAUAAUUAUAUUUUAUUAAAUUUUUUUAAUUAUAAAAAUUUAAUUUAAUUAUUGUAUUAUGUUGGGGAGAUAAGAGUAAAAUUUUAAAUAACUGCUAAAAAAAAAGACAAUUAUAGGUGAUUAAAAUAAAAUAAAAGAUCCUAAAUAUAGAUUAAAAGAUUAAGUUACUUUAGGGAUAACAGUGUAAUUUUUUUUGAGAGUUCAUAUCGACAAAAAAGUUUGCAACCUCGAUGUUGAAUUAAAAUAUCUUUAUAACGUAGAUGUUAUAUUAGAAGGUCUGUUCGACCUUUAAAUU
This 519-nucleotide ribosomal RNA is filed under the name Sartoriana blandfordi. RNAcentral's name for it is "partial 16S ribosomal RNA". It matches the Rfam family "Bacterial large subunit ribosomal RNA", at positions 1826 to 2594 of the family's 2925-position model. The record is from RNAcentral. Lineage: Eukaryota; Metazoa; Arthropoda; Malacostraca; Decapoda; Gecarcinucidae.